This 299-nucleotide unclassified non-coding RNA is filed under the name plant metagenome. RNAcentral's name for it is "partial contains 5.8S ribosomal RNA, internal transcribed spacer 2, and large subunit ribosomal RNA". The stretch from base 1 to 105 matches the Rfam family "5.8S ribosomal RNA", at positions 50 to 154 of the family's 154-position model. The record is from RNAcentral.
GAAAUGCGAUAAGUAAUGUGAAUUGCAGAAUUCAGUGAAUCAUCGAAUCUUUGAACGCACAUUGCGCCCCCUGGUAUUCCGGGGGGCAUGCCUGUUCGAGCGUCAUUUCACCAAUCAAGCCUCGCUUGGUAUUGGGCGACGCGGUCCGCCGCGCGCCUCAAAUCGACCGGCUGGGUCUUCCGUCCCCUCAGCGUUGUGGAAACUAUUCGCUAAAGGGUGCCGCGGGAGGUCACGCCGCAAAACAACCCCAUUUCUAAGGUUGACCUCGGAUCAGGUAGGGAUAUCCGCUGAACUUAAGC